This is a small nucleolar RNA of Lampris incognitus (smalleye Pacific opah), 70 nucleotides long. RefSeq annotates it as small nucleolar RNA R38. The record is from RefSeq and is a predicted model, not a curated record. The transcript has a single exon. Lineage: Eukaryota; Metazoa; Chordata; Actinopteri; Lampriformes; Lampridae.
CUAAGCCUGUGAUGACACAUGUUAUCCCUGUCUGAACUCUAGUGUGGAGAUUUGGUAACCUGAGGCUUUG